Molecule: transfer RNA, 72 nt
Filed under: Marmota marmota marmota (Alpine marmot)
Lineage: Eukaryota; Metazoa; Chordata; Mammalia; Rodentia; Sciuridae
Also listed under: 1 other name
Rfam family: tRNA
About the family: Transfer RNA (tRNA) molecules are approximately 80 nucleotides in length.
Source: Rfam by way of RNAcentral
UGGGUUGUGGCUCAAUGGUAGAGCACUUGCCUAAGAUGUGAGAGGCACUGGGUUCAAUCCCCAGCACCACAU